GGCGUAAAGCGUGCGCAGGCGGUUUUGUAAGUCUGACGUGAAAUCCCCGGGCUCAACCUGGGAAUUGCGAUGGAGACUGCAAGGCUAGAAUCUGGCAGAGGGGGGUAGAAUUCCACGUGUAGCAGUGAAAUGCGUAGAGAUGUGGAGGAACACCGAUGGCGAAGGCAGCCCCCUGGGUCUAGAUUGACGCUCAUGCACGAAAGCGUGGGGAGCAAACAGGAUUAGAUACCCUGGUAGUCCACGCCCUAAACGAUGUCUACUAGUUGUCGGGUUUU
RNAcentral lists this ribosomal RNA (275 nucleotides) under Massilia timonae. RNAcentral describes it as "partial 16S ribosomal RNA". It matches the Rfam family "Bacterial small subunit ribosomal RNA", at positions 557 to 831 of the family's 1533-position model. Lineage: Bacteria; Pseudomonadati; Pseudomonadota; Betaproteobacteria; Burkholderiales; Oxalobacteraceae. The record is from RNAcentral.